RNAcentral lists this long non-coding RNA (626 nucleotides) under Equus caballus (horse). RNAcentral's name for it is "lncRNA (ENSECAG00000052511.1)". The record is from RNAcentral. Lineage: Eukaryota; Metazoa; Chordata; Mammalia; Perissodactyla; Equidae.
UUUCUUUCCUUUUUUGGUUUUGUUUCUUCACUUUUAAUGAACCAAGAAAAUGAAAUGUGAUCAUACCCACCAGUUGCAUCCUCCAAGAAGGUUGCAGGCUUUUCUCAAAUAUCUGGAGAACCUUCAUGGUUUGAUCAUGAUUACAAAUAAAGAAAGAAGCAGGGUCACUGGAGACAUAGGAACCAUUUAUCACUUUCAACAACAUUCCUGCCUCAAGAGUUUCAGGCUAAACAGAGACUGGAAAACCUUUGAGAGGACUGGCUUGUUGUUAUGUGUUUUCAAGGUGUAGUAUUUUUCCUCAUCCAAAAAGAGUUGGAGUAAGCACAACUCCUCAGUCUUCCUUAGUGGGUGGAUUUCUUCUUCUCCACAUUCACUCAUGGAUAGCAUAUCCUCUUGUGGUCCUUGGCAGCAUGCAGUAUGUCUGGCACUGCUUCCUACAGGGCUUGGGCCCUGCGCUUUGUUUCAGGAACCCCAAGCAUGAGCCAUUGAAAUGACACAGGCCAGCAGAUACUCUUGGGACAGAGGCCAGAUUCAGAACCCGCUUAUCUCUUAGCAUUGUUACUCUCCUCCACCGGGCACAAUAAAUUAUCCUUACUUUUUUUGCCAUCUCAGCUCUUUGUAGAAAA